UUUUUUUUUUGUUUUUUGUUUUUUUUGUCUUGUUUUUUCUUACAGCUAGACUGAUGAUUAAGGAAAGCACUGAUCAACUCCUUGGAGUGAAAAUGGAGAAAAGUAACUUACACUUUUAGUGUAUUCACUUCUACACUCUCUAAUUGCUUCAAGACUUCUUUAAAAACUCAAUGCAUUGAGCUGAGGCACAGCUCAGUGGUAGACUAUUGGUUUAGCAUGUGCAAGGCCCUAGAUCAGAUCCCUGGCACUGAAAAAAAAAUCAUUUAUAUUUAAUAUCUUUAAAUAUAUCUCUUGGGCUUUAGCUUCUUUCUCCAUAAAAGAUUGAGGUGGAGCUGUAAGGUGAAUUCCAACUAUAAAAGUAGAAAAUAUAUCUAUAUUUGACUCACUAAUCAUCUCUUUGGACAUAACAAGGCUACACCAUAUAAUCUCUCCCUUAGUAAAGGGAGAGUGGGGGGGUACAACAGGCAGCAGCACAUAAGAACAUGGGCAAAGAAAGGCUCCAAAGCAAGGAAGGGCGUGAAGAGUCUCAAGCCAUCAAAGUCCCUUCUUGGCCAUUCAUAGUGAGUAGUGGGAGAUAAUGUGCAUAGGUAGGGGGGAGCAAAACCAGAGAGACCUGGACUGCCAGGCUUAGAACGUUCAUCUUUAUUUUAAAGUCAAUUUGUACAGGAGAGAAAGAGGGGUACCGGAGAUUUGGGGGAGAAGGGGCAAUAAAAUAAGACCUUUGUCCCUUAGUCAUCUUUCUGUAUUUCCCUUAUUGGCAGAUAAGGACUGUUCUCAUCCUGCUUUGGAAUAGUAAAAUUUCAAACCAAACUAGACAGCCAGAAAGAAGUGCAUGGAAAUAACCUCCUCACAGGACAGCCUUGUGACAACAGAGUACAUAGUGUUGCAACUAAGAAGGCUCACCAUGAACAGAUUGUUCAGUGAGCUAAGCUAACUGAGCAGGAAACUGUCUCCUUGUUACCUCUUCUGAAAAUUCAUUCCAUAUUAAAGGAUGCCCAUGCCACUUGGAAAAUCUUAGGUCCAGGACUUUGACAGUCUCCCCUGCUUACAGUCAGUACCUUUGAAGGUUAAAGUCAUGGGCCAGAGACAAUUUAAACUACAGAAAGUCUUUGUAAAUGUUAAUACUUUUGUUUUCCUAAAUUUUUUGUCACUUGGAAUGAUUUCUGAUAUGAAAAAGAUAUUUAAUUUAGAUUAUAAAAUAAAUUCCUGGCUGGAUACUUAUACACAUCCAUCAUAAAGGUAGCAGGGAACUUUGUCACCCAUGUUUGAAUCAUAGAUACCAAGAUCAAAUAGAUCAAUAGAGUGAAUGGUACUUAAAUGUACAAUUUUAUGGACAAAAAUCUAGCCAUCACCCAAAUUGUACCAUAGAACAUACAAUCAAUAAUAAUUUUUGUAUCUAGUUUCUUAAACUCAACAUUAUGAGAUGAAUCUGUAGUACUGAGCACAAUAUUUUUACCUUAUUUUCACAGCUAUGUAUUAUUCCAUUGUUUGAAUAUAUCAUAAUUUAUUAGUCAUUUUACUGCCAAUGAAUGUUUCAGUUAUUUCCAAGUCUCUUAUGUUAUAAAUAAUUAUGUAUGAUCACUCUCUUAGAUGUUUUUGAUUCACAUGUGUACACAUUUCUAUUGAAUAUAUAUAUAUAUAUAUAUAUAUAUAUAUAUAUAUAUAUAGGAGUAAACUUAGUGGGUAUAGAGUAUAUUCAUAUUUAGCCUUAAUAUUAACUGCCAAUUUUCCAAUGUACCAAUUUACAUUAGCAAUCUAUGAUUAGUUCCAGAUAUUUCGUAUGCUUGCUAACUUUUGAUAGUAUCUUUUUUAAAAGAAGUUAUUCCAUUAGGUGGCAUAGUGGUAUGACAAUGAGAUUUUAACAUGCAUUGUCUUGACAACUUGUAAUGGAGAGCAUCUUUUCAUGAGGUUAUUGACUAUUUUCAAAAGUGCCUGUUAAGUCAUUUGCCCAUGUUUAACAAUGGAAUUGUAUAAAAUUUUGGUGACUUGAAAGAGUUUUAUAUAUAUAUAUAUAUAUAUAUAUAUAUGCAUUUGUAUAAUUAAUUGACAAUUGUUAUAUAUGUCUAUAUAAAGUAUAAGUACUUUGUAUUUUACAAGUCCUUUGAUUACAAGACCUUUGCCAGAUAUAUACUACAAUUAUCUUUUCUAUGUAAUUAGAUGAGUAGAAUGUUUUAAAAUUUUAAUGAAGUACAGUUUAUUAAUCUUUCCAUUGUAGUUAAUACUUUUUAUCCUGUUUAGAAAACCUUUGCCUACCACAAGGUAAAAAAGAAAAUCUCUCAUUGUUAAUUUCUAGAAACUUUGUAAUUUUACCUUUUGCAUUUAGGUAUGAGAGCCAUCUGUAAUAUGUGUGUGUGUGUGUGUGUGUGUAUGAGUGUAAGUGUGUCCGUGCGCAGUAAUGACAUAUCUAUUUUUUAAAAAUAAUGAAUAUCCAAUUGAGUUUAACAUAAAAAUCAAUAUGAAGAGAAUUGACACUUUAUAAUACUGAGUCUUCCAAUUCAUGAGUGUGAUACAUCACUUAAUUUAUUUGGCUCCUUUUUAGUUUCUUCCAGAAAUGUUUUGUAGCUGUCUUUGAGGAGGUCUUGUAAUAGCAAAUUCUUAGAUGUCGAUUUGGUUAUGGUGCCCAGCCAUUUGGUCAAAGUGUAUAUAGUACUUGCCUAGCAUGAGUGAGGCUCUGGGUUCAAUCCUCAGCAUCACAAAGGAAAAAAAAAAAAAACAUUAACCUCAACAUAGUUUUCCUGUUUACCAACUUUCUUUCUCAUAUUGCCUUUGUGUGUACGUCCAAAUAUCUGUUCCUUGGCCAUUACAAUUUUUAUGAUCCUCAGUAGGAAGAGAGGUUUUCUUUAAAGGUCAUUGUCUUAGCCCAUUUUCUCUUGCUAUAACCAAAUACCACAGACUGGGUAAUUUAUAAAGAAUAAAGUUUUGGCCUUGGGUUGUGGCUCAGUAGUAGAGCACUUGCCUAGUACCUGCGAGGCACUGGGUUUGAUCAUCAGCACCACAUUAAAAUCAAUAAAGUAUUCAAUUAGAUGUUUUAAAAAAUAAUAAAGGUUUAUUUGACUCAUGGUUUGGGGUGUUGGGAAGUUCAAGUUUGAGCAUCUACUUGAUGGCGGGGACUGUAGAAUCCUGAGGUAGCACAGGGCAUCACAUGGCAAGAUAGGGUAAGUGCGCUAGCUCAAGACUCUUCUAAAAAAAGCCACUAAUUGCACCAUAGGGGCCCUGCCAUCAUGACCUCAUCUAAUCCUAAUUACAUCCCAAAGGUUCCACUUCCAAAUACCAUUAACACAUGACUUUAGGGAUAAGGUUUCCAAAACAAUCAAUUUGGGGGACAUACUCAAACUUUAGCGGUUACCGACAUCUUCCAUCUGGCUAACUCUUUUGGUCAAUUCUUCAUUUUAUAUAAAUUGACUUUUGACUUAUCAACGGCAUUUCAUCAGGAGAACAGGGAAGAAACAUU
Molecule: long non-coding RNA, 3451 nt
Filed under: Marmota monax (woodchuck)
Lineage: Eukaryota; Metazoa; Chordata; Mammalia; Rodentia; Sciuridae
Source: RNAcentral